UACGGAGGGUGCAAGCGUUAUCCGGAUUCACUGGGUUUAAAGGGUGCGUAGGUGGAUUAGUAAGUCAGUGGUGAAAUCUCCGGGCUUAACCCGGAAACUGCCAUUGAUACUAUUAGUCUUGAAUACCGUGGAGGUCAGCGGAAUAUGUCAUGUAGCGGUGAAAUGCUUAGAUAUGACAUAGAACACCAAUUGCGAAGGCAGCUGGCUACACGAGCAUUGACACUCAGGCACGAAAGCGUGGGGAUCAAACAG
RNAcentral lists this ribosomal RNA (252 nucleotides) under uncultured bacterium. Its description in RNAcentral is "partial 16S ribosomal RNA". It matches the Rfam family "Bacterial small subunit ribosomal RNA", at positions 524 to 775 of the family's 1533-position model. The record is from RNAcentral.